GGCUUGUAUAAAAAAUAUGAGCAUUUUUUCUAACCAAAAAUGUAUUUUCUGAGAAAAAAAUAUUAGACUGCUUAUUUUUUCUAUAAAUAUUGUUGACCUAAAACCUAGUUUGGAGGAAGGAUAGUAAACAACAUUCUAUGUUCUAUGUAUGGUUUCGGGAUGAGUUAUACUAUCCCUAUUGUACAUUGUGGUUAUUUCAAGGCACAUUUAUGUUUACCGAGUUUUGGUAGUUUUCGUAAAUUUUUAGAAAAAAAAACCGUGAUAUUGAUUAAUACGCAAAUUUGUUUUAAUUUCCGUACAUUUAAAGAACAAUAUAUUGGUCAAAAUAAUAUUGAAUUUUUUUUCUAAAAUAUCGGUAUUUCAACAACAAAUAAUAUUUGCGUGACCCUAGAUAUGAGGAAGGGGAAAUUUGUUUUAAAAUUCAAUGUAACUACAAUACUGUCAUAUAAUGUUCUAAUUUUGGACAGUGUUAUAUUCAGAGUUUUAUGCAUUAAAUAUAAAUAUCUGAAUAGUUGGCAUACAUAUGUAAAUAUACUAUAACUAUUUCCAGAAUAGAUCAACUUAAUAUUGUUUAAAAAUAAAUAAUCUCUCACGUGGU
Non-coding RNA from Cinara cedri, 598 nucleotides. The record is from the annotation of a GenBank genome assembly. NCBI's taxonomy places the organism in Eukaryota, Metazoa, Arthropoda, Insecta, Hemiptera, Aphididae.